CAGCUGGAAGUACCACAAAAUAGAAGAAAGAGAGUUCAUGCUAGUGGACCUGAGCAAGUACGCUUAGUGAGCAGACCAAAAGAUACAAUAAAGCAUCAUCAUGACUGCGAGGGUAGCAAUGAAUUCUCAUAUCAAGGACAAUCAUCACCAACACCUCCUUUUCCUGAAGAACGGGAGCACAUGAGAAAGAGCGGUGAGAAUCUGGAUGAAAAUUCGAGAAGAG
Molecule: long non-coding RNA, 223 nt
Organism: Lolium rigidum
Lineage: Eukaryota; Viridiplantae; Streptophyta; Magnoliopsida; Poales; Poaceae
Exons: 4
Source: RefSeq, a predicted model, not a curated record